GGUGAACGCUGGCGGCGUGCUUAAGACAUGCAAGUCGAACGGGCUCUUCGGAGCCAGUGGCGCACGGGUGAGUAACGCGUAACUGACCUACCCCAAAGUCGCGGAUAACGAUUCGAAAGAAUCGCUAAUACGUGAUGUGCUGUCAGAUCCUGUUCUGCCAGUAAAGAUUUAUUGCUUUGGGAUGGGGUUGCGUUCCAUCAGCUAGUUGGUGGGGUAAAGGCCCACUAAGGCGACGACGGAUCGCCGGCCUGAGAGGGUGGCCGGCCACAGGGGCACUGAGACACGGGUCCCACUCCUACGGGAGCCAGCAGUUAGGACUCUUCUACAAUGGGCGACAGCCUGAUGGAGCGACGCCGCGUGAGGGAUGACGGUCCUCGGAUCGUAAACCUCUGAAUCAGGGACGAAAGACGCGAAAGCGGGAUGACGGUACCUGAGUAAUAGCACCGGCUAACUCCGUG
Molecule: ribosomal RNA, 458 nt
Filed under: uncultured bacterium
Lineage: Bacteria
Description: partial 16S ribosomal RNA
Rfam family: Bacterial small subunit ribosomal RNA
Source: RNAcentral